Helianthus annuus (common sunflower) is the source of this 969-nucleotide long non-coding RNA. RefSeq lists it as uncharacterized. The record is from RefSeq and is a predicted model, not a curated record. Lineage: Eukaryota; Viridiplantae; Streptophyta; Magnoliopsida; Asterales; Asteraceae. The transcript is spliced from 3 exons.
AGCUUAUGGUAUUUAAUCCCCGAUUAAAAGCCUAUCCAUUAAGAUAGAAGAUAGAUUGCUUAUCUUUUGUUCGAAAUUAUUAAAUAUUCUGUAGAUAACAAGUCAAUAAUGCAUGCAUUUGUGACAUGGAUUUAGGCAAUGCAUUUGUGACAUAGAUUAUGCACUUACCAUGGCUCCAUUGAAGUAAAUUGCAUUUGAAGAGAAUGCAUUUCCCCAAUAACGUUGUGUUUAAGGAGUUAAUGGGAUCCAAGUAAUUAAUAUCUUCUUCUUUUUCUUUUUCGUUUGUUUUAUAUUUACACUACAAGAAAUUACCACUUUUAGCGGCGACACUUUUAGCGGCGACAUCUAAAAAGUCGCCGCUAAAAGUCUUAAUCCGGGACAAGGGAUUUAGAAUUGAUCUGGACCGUUCUUUACUGAACUAAUCGAAGGGCUAGGGUUUAUCCCUACAUAAAACAUGUGUAAAAAGGCUCACAUCUGUUUUGGCGGCAUUUUUCCCUCUUCCCUCCAAGAUGAAAUCUUCACACACCCCUGGAGGACAACCUUGAAUCUGCCGGAGAGCCUCACCACCUUCAAUCUGCCAUAGCACCUCCAUCUCGUCUUGCUGAUUGUCCGACGCCCUUUGAAAACGGAGGGAAUGGUGUGCAAUGUCGGUCAACAUGUCAUGUCACCGUUAACGCCCCAAAUGUUAGAGUACAUCCAACGCCCAUUUAUUAACACAAGGAAGGAGUGGUGUGCAAUGCCGGUCAACAUAUCAUGUCACCGUUAACACCAUAAAUGUUAGAGUACAUCCAAAGGCGUUAUAAGGACAAACGUUCUAUCUUCUCACAAACAAAAGAAUAUAGUCUGAGAAGCUAAAGAGAAAAUAGAAAGGUUUUUUCAGAUGUUAAAAUAGUGAGUGCAAAUGGAGGACUGCAUAGGAGUGAUAUGAAGGUCAAGAAUCUGAAUAAAAUACUCUAAUUCUUUUUGAUA